GGGACACGUGGUAUCCUGUCUGAAUAUGGGGGGACCAUCCUCCAAGGCUAAAUACUCCUGACUGACCGAUAGUGAACCAGUACCGUGAGGGAAAGGCGAAAAGAACCCCGGCGAGGGGAGUGAAAAAGAACCUGAAACCGUGUACGUACAAGCAGUGGGAGCCUCUUAAUGGGGUGACUGCGUACCUUUUGUAUAAUGGGUCAGCGACUUAUAUUCUGUAGCAAGGUUAACCGAAUAGGGGAGCCGAAGGGAAACCGAGUCUUAACUGGGCGUUAAGUUGCAGGGUAUAGACCCGAAACCCGGUGAUCUAGCCAUGGGCAGGUUGAAGGUUGGGUAACACUAACUGGAGGACCGAACCGACUAAUGUUGAAAAAUUAGCGGAUGACUUGUGGCUGGGGGUGAAAGGCCAAUCAAACCGGGAGAUAGCUGGUUCUCCCCGAAAGCUAUUUAGGUAGCGCCUCGUGAAUUCAUCUCCGGGGGUAGAGCACUGUUUCGGCAAGGGGGUCAUCCCGACUUACCAACCCGAUGCAAACUGCGAAUACCGGAGAAUGUUAUCACGGGAGACACACGGCGGGUGCUAACGUCCGUCGUGAAGAGGGAAACAACCCAGACCGCCAGCUAAGGUCCCAAAGUCAUGGUUAAGUGGGAAACGAUGUGGGAAGGCCCAGACAGCCAGGAUGUUGGCUUAGAAGCAGCCAUCAUUUAAAGAAAGCGUAAUAGCUCACUGGUCGAGUCGGCCUGCGCGGAAGAUGUAACGGGGCUAAACCAUGCACCGAAGCUGCGGCAGCGACGCUUAUGCGUUGUUGGGUAGGGGAGCGUUCUGUAAGCCUGUGAAGGUGUGCUGUGAGGCAUGCUGGAGGUAUCAGAAGUGCGAAUGCUGACAUAAGUAACGAUAAAGCGGGUGAAAA
This 908-nucleotide ribosomal RNA is filed under the name Escherichia coli. RNAcentral's name for it is "partial 23S ribosomal RNA". It matches the Rfam family "Bacterial large subunit ribosomal RNA", at positions 419 to 1327 of the family's 2925-position model. Lineage: Bacteria; Pseudomonadati; Pseudomonadota; Gammaproteobacteria; Enterobacterales; Enterobacteriaceae. The record is from RNAcentral.